RNAcentral lists this ribosomal RNA (437 nucleotides) under uncultured Oscillospiraceae bacterium. Its description in RNAcentral is "partial 16S ribosomal RNA". It matches the Rfam family "Bacterial small subunit ribosomal RNA", at positions 341 to 792 of the family's 1533-position model. The record is from RNAcentral. Lineage: Bacteria; Bacillati; Bacillota; Clostridia; Eubacteriales; Oscillospiraceae.
ACGGGAGGCAGCAGUGGGGCAUAUUGGGCAAUGGGGGCAACCCUGACCCAGCAACGACGAGUGAAGGAAGAAGGCUUUCGGGUUGUAAACUUCUUUUACCAGGGACGAAGAAAGUGACGGUACCUGGAGAAAAAGCUACGGCUAACUACGUGCCAGCAGCCGCGGUAAUACGUAGGUAGCAAGCGUCGUCGGGAUUUACUGGGUGUAAAGGGCGUGUAGGCGGAGAUGCAAGUCAGGAGUGAAAUCUAUGGGCUUAACCCAUAAACUGCUUUUGAAACUGCAUCCCUUGAGUAUCGGAGAGGCAGGCGGAAUUCCUAGUGUAGCGGUGAAAUGCGUAGAUAUUAGGAGGAACACCAGUGGCGAAGGCGGCCUGCUGGACGACAACUGACGCUGAGGCGCGAAAGCGUGGUGAGCAAACAGGAUUAGAUACCCUGGUA